CAGACUAUAAUCUAGGAUUGAUCUUUAUUUACAUUAAAGAUAUAUUUGUGCGAUUCAAAUUAGUUUGA
RNAcentral lists this transfer RNA (68 nucleotides) under Stiretrus anchorago. RNAcentral describes it as "tRNA-Val". The record is from RNAcentral. Lineage: Eukaryota; Metazoa; Arthropoda; Insecta; Hemiptera; Pentatomidae.